UGCCAGCCGCGCGGUAAUACAGAGGUCCCAAGCGUUGUUCGGAAUUACUGGGCGUAAAGCGCGCGUAGGCGGCUUUGUAAGUUAGAGGUGAAAGCCCGAAGCUCAACUUCGGAAUUGCCUUUAAGACUGCAUCGCUAGAAUCAUGGAGAGGUUAGUGGAAUUCCGAGUGUAGAGGUGAAAUUCGUAGAUAUUCGGAAGAACACCAGUGGCGAAGGCGACUAACUGGACAUGUAUUGACGCUGAGGUGCGAAAGCGUGGGGAGCAAACAGG
This 270-nucleotide ribosomal RNA is filed under the name uncultured prokaryote. Its description in RNAcentral is "partial 16S ribosomal RNA". It matches the Rfam family "Bacterial small subunit ribosomal RNA", at positions 506 to 776 of the family's 1533-position model. The record is from RNAcentral.